CCUACGGGAGGCAGCAGUGAGGAAUAUUGGUCAAUGGGCGCGAGCCUGAACCAGCCAAGUCGCGUGAAGGAUGACGGCCCUAAGGGUUGUAAACUUCUUUUAUAAAGGAAUAAAGUGAGGCACGUUUGCCUUUUUGUAUGUACCUUAUGAAUAAGGAUCGGCUACCUCCGUGCCAGCAGCCGCGGUAAUACGGAGGAUCCGAGCGUUAUCCGGCUUUAUUGGGUUUAAAGGGAGCGUAGAUGGGUUGGUAAGUCAGGUGUGAAAGUUUGCGGCUCAACCGUAAGAUUGCAAUUGAUACUGGCAGUCUUGAGUACAGUUGAGGUAGGCGGAAUGCGUGGUGUAGCGGUGAAAUGCAUAGAUAGCACGAAGAACUCCGAUUGCGAAGGCAGCUUACUAAACUGCCACUGACAUUGAGGCUCGAAAGUGUGGGUAUCAAACAGGAUUAGAUACCCUAGUAGUC
RNAcentral lists this ribosomal RNA (460 nucleotides) under uncultured bacterium. Its description in RNAcentral is "partial 16S ribosomal RNA". It matches the Rfam family "Bacterial small subunit ribosomal RNA", at positions 338 to 795 of the family's 1533-position model. The record is from RNAcentral.